UACGUAGGGGGCAAGCGUUGUCCGGAAUCAUUGGGCGUAAAGAGCGUGUAGGCGGCCCGAUAAGUCCGCUGUGAAAGUCCAGGGCUCAACCCUGGGAUGCCGGUGGAUACUGUCGGGCUCGAGUCCGGAAGAGGAGUGUGGAAUUCCUGGUGUAGCGGUGAAAUGCGCAGAUAUCAGGAGGAACACCAAUGGCGAAGGCAGCACUCUGGGACGUGACUGACGCUGAGACGCGAAAGCGUGGGGAGCAAGCAGG
RNAcentral lists this ribosomal RNA (253 nucleotides) under uncultured bacterium. RNAcentral's name for it is "partial 16S ribosomal RNA". It matches the Rfam family "Bacterial small subunit ribosomal RNA", at positions 524 to 776 of the family's 1533-position model. The record is from RNAcentral.